RNAcentral lists this ribosomal RNA (1478 nucleotides) under Odoniellina sp. WCW-2003. Its description in RNAcentral is "SSU rRNA". It matches the Rfam family "Eukaryotic small subunit ribosomal RNA", at positions 442 to 1810 of the family's 1831-position model. The record is from RNAcentral. Lineage: Eukaryota; Metazoa; Arthropoda; Insecta; Hemiptera; Miridae.
UACCCACUCCCGGCACGGGGAGGUAGUGACAAAAAAUAACGAUACGGGUACUCUUAUGAGGCCCCGUAAUCGGGAAUGAGUACACUUUAAAUCCUUUAACAAGGUAUCCAUUGGCAGGGAAAGUCUGGUGCCAGCAGCCGCGGUAACUCCAGCUCCAAUAGCGUAUAUUAAAGUUGUUGCGGUUAAAAAGCUCGUAGUUGGUUCUGCGUGCCACGCUGCUGGUUCGCCGCCUGUCGGUGUAACUGGCAUGCCGUGGUAUGUCCUGUCGGUGGUGUUCGGGAGCCUUGUCAGGUAACGGUCCAUACUUUGUGUGGUAUCGCGGCCGGAGGUCAUACCCGUUCACCUACUUCUAUCCUACCUGGGUGCUCUUUACCGAGUGUCGAGGUAGGCCGACACGUUUACUUUGAACAAAUUAGAGUGCUCAAAGCAGGCUGAAAUUUCUGCCUGAAUAGUGGUGCAUGGAAUAAUAAAACAGGACCUUGGUUCUAUUUUGUUGGUUCUUAGGAACACAAGGUAAUGAUCAAUACGGACAGGCGGGGGCAUUCGUAUUGCGACGUUAGACUUGGCAAAUGCUUUCGCGGUGAAAUUCUUGGAUCGUCGCAAGACGCACAAGAGCGAAAGCAUUUGCCAAGUAUGUCUUGAUUGAUCAAGAACGAAAGUUAGAGGUUCGAAGGCGAUCAGAUACCGCCCUAGUUCUAACCAUAAACGAUGCCAGCCAGCGAUCCGCCGAUGUUCCUCCGAUGACUCGGCGGGGAGCUUUUCCCCGGGAAACCAAAGCUUUUGGGUUCCGGGGGAAGUAUGGUUGCAAAGCUGAAACUUAAAGGAAUUGACGGAAGGGCACCACCAGGAGUGGAGCCUGCGGCUUAAUUUGACUCAACACGGGAAACCUCACCAGGCCAGGACAUUGGAAGGAUUGACAGAUUGAUAGCUCUUUCUUGAUUCAGUGGGUAGUGGUGCAUGGCCGUUCUUAGUUGGUGGAUCGAUUUGUCUGGUUAAUUCCGAUAACGAACGAGACUCUAGCCUAUUAACUAGGCGUUUACCGGUGUCCUCGCCACCGGCGUUUCUCAUUCUUCUUAAGGGGACAGGCGGCUUAUAGCCGCACGAGAUUGAGCAAUAACAGGUCUGUGAUGCCCUUAGAUGUCCUGGGCCGCACGCGCGCUACACUGAAGGAAUCAGCGUGUGCCUCCCUGGCCGAAAGGCCCGGGUAAUCCGUUGAACCUCCUUCGUGCUAGGAAUUGGGGCUUGCAAUUGUUCCCCAUGAACGAGGAAUUCCCAGUAAGCGCGAGUCAUAAGCUCGCGUUGAUUACGUCCCUGCCCUUUGUACACACCGCCCGUCGCUACUACCGAUUGAAUGAUUUAGUGAGGUCUUCGGACUGGCGGUAAUCUCCUAUCACGUCAGUGGUUUAGAUGAACGCUGGAAAGAUGACCAAACUUGAUCAUUUAGAGGAAGUAAAAGUCGAAACAAGGUUUCCGUAGGU